Vicia faba (fava bean) is the source of this 282-nucleotide non-coding RNA. The record is from the annotation of a GenBank genome assembly. Lineage: Eukaryota; Viridiplantae; Streptophyta; Magnoliopsida; Fabales; Fabaceae.
AUGCAUCUCUAUUCUUACUUCUCAUGGCAAGAAAAAGAAAAUACAAUGCAGAAUCAAAACCAGAAUAAAAAACAAUACCAAACGAACAAUAAUGUUUGUAGCAAAGCACAAUCAAAGCAAAAGAAAUUCGACAGUCUUCGUGCAAGCUUCACCAUGCAAAAGAUAUCCAAUAUAAGAAUCAAGACAUCAUCGUGUGAGAAUAGAUCGCAUGCGGAAAACACAUCGCAUCAAAAUAAUUGUCCUGCACAAAAUUAUUUUACACAAGCACAACAUAACCCGUAA